Molecule: non-coding RNA, 75 nt
Organism: Podarcis lilfordi (Lilford's wall lizard)
Lineage: Eukaryota; Metazoa; Chordata; Lepidosauria; Squamata; Lacertidae
Source: the annotation of a GenBank genome assembly
GAAGGGCUGUAGCUUAAUGAUAAGAGCAUCUGCGUUGCAUGCAGGAGGUCCAAGGUUCAAUCGCCAGCAUCUUCA